This is a non-coding RNA of Oncorhynchus mykiss (rainbow trout), 6554 nucleotides long. NCBI's taxonomy places the organism in Eukaryota, Metazoa, Chordata, Actinopteri, Salmoniformes, Salmonidae. The record is from RefSeq and is a predicted model, not a curated record.
CCCACCUGGUAUCCCCAGGUCUAAAUCAAUCCCUGAUUAGAGGGGAAUCACCCACCUGGUGUCCCAGGUCUAAAUCAGGCCCUGAUUAGAGGGGAAGAAUGAACAGAGUUGAUUUUGAGGGUGUUAGAGAAACUGAACUAAAAAGCAGGUUUGCUCACUACCGUGAAGCUGAAACAAACUCAGCUACGGAUACAUUCAGAAAUCUGAUUUAUCUAUACAGAUAGCUGAUGAUCCAGAUAGCUGAUGAUCCAGAUAGCUGAUGAUCCAGCUACCUGUAUAGCUAAGAAAUGCUAAGAAACACAUUUUAAUUGAAAUGCAUUAAAUCACAGGAGUAUAUCAAAUCUACAAGAAGUGAAUGACUCAGCAUGAUAAGACUGGAGCAUGAUAAGACUGAUAAGACUGGAGAUGAACUCAGAUAACUGGAAACGGUAGACCACUGUAUACACCAUAGCUACAGGACCCAUAUUGUCUGUCUAUGGUAUACACUGUCUGCUCUCAGCAGACACAUUGUGUGCUCUGAAACACUGUACUGGAACCACAGAAUUAGAAUGACUCUGAUUCUAAGAUUCUAUGAUUCUAUACACUGUACUGGAACCACAGAAUUAGAAUGACUCUGAUUCUAUGAUUCUAUACACUGUACUGAAACCACAGAAUUAGAAUGACUCUGAUUCUAUGAUUCUAUGAUUCUAAUUCUAUACACUGUACUGGAACCACAGAAUUAGAAUGACUCUGAUUCUAUGAUUCUAAUUCUAUACACUGUACUGGAACCACAGAAUUAGAAUGACUCUGAUUCUAUGAUUCUAAUUCUAUACACUGUACUGGAACCACAGAAUUAGAAUGACUCUGAUUCUAAGAUUCUAUGAUUCUAAUUCUAUACACUGUACUGGAACCACAGAAUUAGAAUGACUCUGAUUCUAUGAUUCUAUGAUUCUAUACACUGUACUGGAACCACAGAAUUAGAAUGACUCUGAUUCUAUGAUUCUAUGAUUCUAUGAUUCUAAUUCUAUACACUGUACUGGAACCACAGAAUUAGAAUGACUCUGAUUCUAUGAUUCUAUGAUUCUAUACACUGUACUGGAACCACAGAGUUAGAAUGACUCUGAUUCUAUGAUUCUAAUUCUAUACACUGUACGGUGACAUUGGUAUGCGCUGUAUACUGUAGAAUCCCAGCAGCUGAUAACGGCAUUGAUCAGGUCCAACAAGGGACGAUAUGUUACAAGAACACUGGACAUUUUCACACUGUAUCUUGCCCACUGGAUUUAAUAAUACUUAACCACUAGCCAAAUACAAUGUGUGUUUAAGAAGUACUUUCUUAGCUAUAUAUUUUCUGUUUUAUUUUGUUUGAAUGGUAGAAGAUCAGAGAUGACUUUCUGCUCUGGAUCGUGAUGUUGAUAGUCUCUCCAGACAUGUUGAUAGUCUCUCCCGUAGUCUCUCCAGACAUCUGCUUUGCCUCCCACAAUUUUCAAAUGCUCCAACUUAGGGUCUGGUUUUCAAGACUAGACAACACAAGUAUUGACAUCUGAACUGCGUUUUUUUUAAACCGCUGGUGCCUUAUCUUUCUCUAUAAAACAGGAAGGCUGUCAUCUUAUCUCCAGACAGAAGCAGCUCAUGGACUUGAUUGAAUGCUGUUCAUGUCUGAGCCUAUAGAGGCAUCCAUUUUGUGAUCUGGGUCUUGUAUAACCGAACAAGAAAGAAAGGGUUACCAGAGGUUACUCUAACACCUUCCUGAAUGAGUCCAGAGGUCACUCUACAACCUUCCUGAAUGAGUCCAGAAGUCACUCUAACAUUCUCCUGAAUGAGUCCAGAUGUCACUCUAACAUUCUCCUGAAUGAGUCCAGAGGUCACUCUAACAUUCUCCUGAAUGAGUCCAGAGGUCACUAACAUUCUCCUGAAUGAGUCCAGAGGUCACUCUAACAUUCUCCUGAAUGAGUCCAGAGGUCACUAACAUUCUCCUGAAUGAGUCCAGAGGUCACUCUAACACCUUCCUGAAUGAGUCCAGAGGUCACUCUAACAUUCUCCUGAAUGAGUCCAGAGGUCACUAACAUUCUCCUGAAUGAGUCCAGAGGUCACUCUAACACCUUCCUGAAUGAGUCCAGAGGUCACUCUAACACCUUCCUGAAUGAGUCCAGAGGUCACUCUAACACCUUCCUGAAUGAGUCCAGAGGUCACACUAACACCUUCCUGAAUGAGUCCAGAGGUCACUCUAACACCUUCCUGAAUGAGUCCAGAGGUCACUAUAACACCUUCCUGAAUGAGUCCAGAGGUCACUCUAACACCUUCCUGAAUGAGUCCAGAGGUCACUCUAACACCUUCCUGAAUGAGUCCAGAGGUCACUCUAACACCUUCCUGAAUGAGUCCAGAGGUCACUCUAACACCUUCCUGAAUUAGUCCAGAGGUCACUCUAACACCUUUCUGAAUGAGUCCAGAGGUCACUCUAACACCUUCCUGAAUGAGUCCAGAGGUCACUCUAACACCUUCCUGAAUGAGUCCAGAGGUCACUCUAACACCUUCCUGAAUGAGUCCAGAGGUCACUCUAACACCUUCCUGAAUGAGUUCAGAGGUCACUCUAACACCUUUCUGAAUGAGUUCAGAGGUCACUCUAACACCUUCCUGAAUUAGUCCAGAGGUCACACUAACACCUUCCUGAAUGAGUUCAGAGGUCACUAACACCUUCCUGAAUGAGUCCAGAGGUCACACUAACACCUUCCUGAAUGAGUUCAGAGGUCACUCUAACACCUUCCUGAAUGAGUUCAGAGGUCACUCUAACACCUUCCUGAAUGAGUCCAGAGGUCACACUAACACCUUCCUGAAUGAGUCCAGAGGUCACACUAACACCUUCCUGAAUGAGUCCAGAGGUCACUCUAACACCUUCCUGAAUGAGUCCAGAGGUCACUCUAACACCUUCCUGAAUGAGUUCAGAGGUCACUAACACCUUCCUGAAUGAGUCCAGAGGUCACUAACACCUUCCUGAAUGAGUCCAGAGGUCACUCUAACACCUUCCUGAAUGAGUUCAGAGGUCACUCUAACACCUUCCUGAAUGAGUUCAGAGGUCACUCUAACACCUUCCUGAAUGAGUCCAGAGGUCACUCUAACACCUUCCUGAAUGAGUCCAGAGGUCACUCUAACACCUUCCUGAAUGAGUCCAGAGGUCACUCUAACACCUUCCUGAAUGAGUCCAGAGGUCACUCUAACACCUUCCUGAAUGAGUUCAGAGGUCACUCUAACACCUUCCUGAAUGAGUCCAGAGGUCACACUAACACCUUCCUGAAUGAGUCCAGAGGUCACUCUAACACCUUCCUGAAUGAGUCCAGAGGUCACACUAACACCUUCCUGAAUGAGUCCAGAGGUCACUCUAACACCUUCCUGAAUGAGUCCAGAGGUCACUCUAACACCUUCCUGAAUGAGUCCAGAGGUCACUCUAACACCUUCCUGAAUGAGUUCAGAGGUCACUCUAACACCUUCCUGAAUGAGUCCAGAGGUCACUCUAACACCUUCCUGAAUGAGUCCAGAGGUCACACUAACACCUUCCUGAAUGAGUCCAGAGGUCACUCUAACACCUUCCUGAAUGAGUCCAGAGGUCACUCUAACACCUUCCUGAAUUAGUCCAGAGGUCACUCUAACACCUUCCUGAAUGAGUCCAGAGGUCACUCUAACACCUUCCUGAAUGAGUUCAGAGGUCACUCUAACACCUUCCUGAAUGAGUCCAGAGGUCACUCUAACACCUUCCUGAAUGAGUCCAGAGGUCACACUAACACCUUCCUGAAUGAGUCCAGAGGUCACUCUAACACCUUCCUGAAUGAGUCCAGAGGUCACUAACACCUUCCUGAAUGAGUCCAGAGGUCACUCUAACACCUUCCUGAAUGAGUCCAGAGGUCACUCUAACACCUUCCUGAAUGAGUCCAGAGGUCACUCUAACACCUUCCUGAAUGAGUUCAGAGGUCACUCUAACACCUUCCUGAAUGAGUCCAGAGGUCACUCUAACACCUUCCUGAAUGAGUUAUAGAUGUUAAACACUGGACUAUAAUAUUAUUCUGGCCUUUGCAUUGAUUGCUCUAAAUCUGUGUAACACUUUUUGUCUUCCCCUCUCUGACGGGAAACAACACCCUGUCCCCGAAGUCAUGUUUAUAUCCUCCUCUGGAAAGAGUUUUUCAUUAUUGUUAUUGAGUUAUUGUCUUUCCCUUUACUCACUGACCACUCCCCUCUUUGAUAUACUAUCGACCAUGUUCCUCAUAUGUCGUAACUAUACACUACUUAUUAUAUACAUGUGUGAUGAAGGACCCUUUGGACAUCUGGUAUCUGAAUGCCUCAAGUUAACAAAGUAUUCUGAUACUGUGAUCAGGUGUAUUGAACACAGGUGUAUUGAACACAGUCCUUCUAAGAUCAGGUGUGUUGAAACAGGUGUAUUGAACACAGUCCUUCUAAGAUCAGGUGUGUUGAAACAGGUGUAUUGAACACAGUCCUUCUAAGAUCAGGUGUGUUGAAACAGGUGUAUUCACAGUCCUUCUAAGAUCAGGUGUGUUGAAACAGGUGUAUUGAACACAGUCCUUCUAAGAUCAGGUGUGUUGAAACAGGUGUAUUCACAGUCCUUCUAAGAUCAGGUGUGUUGAAACAGGUGUAUUGAACACAGUCCUUCUAAGAUCAGGUGUGUUGAAACAGGUGUAUUCACAGUCCUUCUAAGAUCAGGUGUGUUGAAACAGGUGUAUUGAACACAGUCCUUCUAAGAUCAGGUGUGUUGAAACAGGUGUAUUGAACACAGUCCUUCUAAGAUCAGGUGUGUUGAAACAGGUGUAUUCACAGUCCUUCUAAGAUCAGGUGUGUUGAAACAGGUGUAUUCACAGUCCUUCUAAGAUCAGGUGUGUUGAAACAGGUGUAUUGAACACAGUCCCUCUAAGAUCAGGUGUGUUGAAACAGGUGUAUUGAACACAGUCCUUCUAAGAUCAGGUGUGUUGAAACAGGUGUAUUGAACACAGUCCUUCUAAGAUCAGGUGUGUUGAAGUUCUCACCUGACCUGUUGUGUCAUGAGAAAUAUAAAUAAUAAAAAACAUAAUCAAAUGAAUAUAUUUCGUUGAACAUGACAAAAUAUAAAGACAUUGUACUAUACUGUAUUACCAAUGUGAUGUUGACAUACAUGAGUACAGUGUAAUAUUUUAGCUUAUUUAUAAUGCACCAGCCAGCCUUUACAGUAAAACCAGCAUAUAGCAUUGUAUAUAUCAACUGAUUUAUGCUCUCUUGGGUGGUUCCAUCUGGUUCCAAAUGGUUCCAACUGGUUUCAAAUGGUUCCAACUGGUUUCAAAUGGUUCCAGCUGGUUUCAAAUGGUUCCAACUGGUUUCAAAUGGUUCCAACUGGUUUCAAAUGGUUCCAACUGGUUCCAAAUGGUUCCAAAUGGUUCCAACUGGUUUCAAAUGGUUCCAACUGGUUCCAAAUGGUUCCAAAUGGUUCCAUCUGGUUUCAAAUGGUUCCAAAUGGUUCCAAAUGGUUCCAACUGGUUUCAAAUGGUUCCAAAUGGUUCCAACUGGUUUCAAAUGGUUCCAACUGGUUCCAAAUGGUUCCAAAUGGUUCCAUCUGGUUUCAAAUGGUUCCAAAUGGUUCCAAAUGGUUCCAACUGGUUUCAAAUGGUUCCAAAUGGUUCCAACUGGUUCCAAAUGGUUCCAAAUGGUUCCAACUGGUUUCAAAUGGUUCCAACUGGUUCUAAAUGGUUCCAAAUGGUUCCAUCUGGUUUCAAAUGGUUCCAAAUGGUUCCAAAUGGUUCCACCUGUUUUCAAAUGGUUUAGAAAUUCAUUAAAUGUUACUGUGUAGCUUCAUUUUGUAACAAUGUAUGCUCCUUUUUAUGUUAUUUUAGUUAUAUCAUUAUAAUGUUGACUGUUGUUACUCUAUCCUUGUUGUUGUUAUAUUAUUCAUAUGUAAACAUUGUUAUGCUAUAUUAUGAAACUCUGUGCCAAUCAAAAUCGCUAGUCGGCUUUUACCUGUCUCACUGGAUAAGAAAACACACACACACACACAGAGAGAGAGAGAGAGAGAGAGAGAGAGAGAGAGAGAGAGAGAGAGAGAGAGAGAGAGAGAGAGAGAGAGUAGAGAAUUGAAGGAGUUUGUCUGGUGGGAGUCCGUGAUGUCAUCGGGCUCCGUCUUGCUUGAGAAACAGCAGAGACCUAAAGAGGAAAGGCCAUCCUGUGUCACACCCUGUCACACCUGGACCACCGAUUGAGAUGUGGCUUUUGUUAAGGAAAUCAGGUGUUAAAUGACACUUUAAAUCUUUACUUCAUUUUUUAAAAAUACAUUUAUCUUAUUACUCUAAUUCUUAUGGCUUAAAGCCCUUCAGAGCACUAAAAUACUUAAUGAAAACAUAAAUACCCCUCCUUCAUUCACCUCUAUACUAUUCCUGUUCCUGCUUUUAAAGUCCUCCCUAUAAAUGUGUGAUUUUUAGUCUUACCUCUUACUUUGUUUUUAAUACACGAUCAUUACAUUUAUUUUGGAACCUUUGCUGUUUUGUAUUUUUUGUGUUAAAGAUGUUGUCAUAAUAUGAAUGCAGUGAAUAAAAUAUUGAUUGAAAACAAAA